AGAGUUUGAUCAUGGCUCAGAUUGAACGCUGGCGGCAGGCUUAACACAUGCAAGUCGAGCGGAAACGAUGGGAGCUUGCUCCCAGGCGUCGAGCGGCGGACGGGUGAGUAACACUUAGGAAUCUACCUAGUAGUGGGGGAUAGCUCGGGGAAACUCGAAUUAAUACCGCAUACGUCCUACGGGAGAAAGGGGGCAACUUGUUGCUCUCGCUAUUAGAUGAGCCUAAGUCGGAUUAGCUAGUUGGUGGGGUAAAGGCCUACCAAGGCGACGAUCUGUAGCUGGUCUGAGAGGAUGAUCAGCCACACCGGGACUGAGACACGGCCCGGACUCCUACGGGAGGCAGCAGUGGGGAAUAUUGGACAAUGGGGGAAACCCUGAUCCAGCCAUGCCGCGUGUGUGAAGAAGGCCUUUUGGUUGUAAAGCACUUUAAGCAGUGAAGAAGACUCCGUGGUUAAUACCCACGGACGAUGACAUUAGCUGCAGAAUAAGCACCGGCUAACUCUGUGCCAGCAGCCGCGGUAAUACAGAGGGUGCAAGCGUUAAUCGGAAUUACUGGGCGUAAAGGGAGCGUAGGUGGCUCGAUAAGUCAGAUGUGAAAUCCCCGGGCUCAACCUGGGAACUGCAUCUGAUACUGUUGAGCUAGAGUAUGUGAGAGGAAGGUAGAAUUCCAGGUGUAGCGGUGAAAUGCGUAGAGAUCUGGAGGAAUACCGAUGGCGAAGGCAGCCUUCUGGCAUAAUACUGACACUGAGGCUCGAAAGCGUGGGUAGCCAACAGGAUUAGAUACCCUGGUAGUCCAGGCGUAAAGAUGUCUACUAGUCGUGGGGUCCUUGAGGACUAGUGACGCAGUAACGCAUAAUAGACGGCUGGGGAU
RNAcentral lists this ribosomal RNA (871 nucleotides) under metagenome. RNAcentral's name for it is "bacterial SSU rRNA". It matches the Rfam family "Bacterial small subunit ribosomal RNA", at positions 9 to 873 of the family's 1533-position model. The record is from RNAcentral.